GGACAACACAGCAAAGCAAAGGUGCCAUUGUGAAGUGAUAGAGACUGUCCUAGACUACCAAAGAUGAAGGCGCAAGGGGAAGAUCUUCAUUUAAAGAUUUAGGUAUUGCCCUUUUACUUUGUAUCUUAAGGUUUUGGACUGGAUAUGGUUAUAAUGUGUAUUAAGUAUUUUCAUUUUAAAAUCUGCAACAGUAUCCUAAAUCAAUAUUAGCAAUACCUUGAUUUUGUACACAUGUAUUUGUGUCUUAUUUGUCAAACAUUCCCUAAAAGAUAACCUUGUAAAAGGGUCUCAAUUUCUUACAGAGAGACAUGGAUGGAAGGGGGGAAUGGCACCCUAGCACGUCUACACUGUCACCCUCUCACACACACUGUCACCCUCUCACACACACUGUCACCAUCCCACUUAAACUGUCACCAACACACACCCUGUCACCCUCACUAGAGGCAGAGACAAGGCAAAGGGAGGCUGGUGGCAGAGAGGUGGCACUGGCAGGGUGUUUGAGGGCACAUGGAACUAGCAGGCAUUUUGGAGGCACAUGUGACUCAUUGGCAUGAUAUACAAAUUUUAUGAAUUUACUGCUCUUUGGCAUGAUAUUCUGGAUUUAUGCAUUUACUGCUCGUUGGCAUGAUAUAUUCAGUUUAUGUAUUUAUUGCUUCAUUGGCAUGAAAUACCAAGUUUAUGUAUUUAUUGCUUUAUUGGCAUAAUGUACCAAGUUUACGCAUUUAAUGUUCAUUGGCAUGAUUUAUCAAGGUUACAGGUUUAUGCAUUUAAUGUUCAUUGGCAUGAUAAAUUCUAUAUCUAUCUAUAUAUAUAUUGCUCCAAAGGGUAUAUAUGAGUGACUGCGUCGAUGUGUAUGUGCAUGCAUGACUGUGGCGGUGGGAUGAGAGUCUUGGACCCAGGCAGCGCACAAUGUCUUUGGCUGGCCCUGUGAAGUUGGAAACAUGAAAAGUCAGAACUGGUUACUAAAAUGUUUGAAUCCCACUACUGAUUUAGGGGUAAUUAUUUCAGGUGACUUAAAGGUAGGCAGACAAUGUAAUAGAGCAGCAGGAAAUGCUAGCAGAAUGCCUGGUUGUAUAGCAUAGAUGUCCAACCUUUUGGCUUCCCUGGGCCACAUUGAGCGCAGAGGAAUUGUCUUGGGCCACACAUAAAAUCUAUAAUAUAAUUAAUUUAUAUGAUAAAACUUCAAAAGCCCUUUUCUUAAAUUUGUUUAGUAGAUAACUCCCUUAUUUGUUAUCCUUACGUAGGAUUGCCAUAUUUAAGGAUAUCAACUUAGGGAGCUGUCUACUAAACACAUACACAUGAAUAUACAUAUGCAAACAUAACCACACAUAUACACGCACAUAAUCACACACAAUCACAGACCAACACAUACAAUCACAGACCUAUACACACAGUCACAAAUAUACACACACACAAUCACAGACCCACACACCAUAUAUAAAUACAGACCUAUACACACAUAAUCACACACACACACGCGUGAUCACAGCCCUUUACACAGUCACAAAUAUAAACACACACAAUCACAGACCCACACACAUACAUAUAAUCACAGACCUAUACACACACAGUCACAUACAUACACACACAUAAUCAUAGAUGUACAUACACACACACAAUCAGAUACAUACACACACAAUCACAGACCUAUUCAAACACAAUAACAAAUAUACACACACAAUUACAGACCUAUACACAGUCACAUACACACACACACAAUCACAGAUGUACACACACAGACAUACACACACAAUUACAGACCCCCCACACACACACAAUCACAGACCCACACACACAUACAAUCACAGACCUAUACACACAUAAUUACAGAUACAUACAUACACACACAUAAUCACAGACCCACACACACAUACAAUAACAGACGUGUACACACAAUCACAUACAUAUACACACACACAUUUAGACCCACACACACAAUCAUAUAAUUACUGACUUACACACAAUCACAGAAAUACACACAGAUCCCCCACCCCCUUCACACACAAUAAAAAAAAAUCACAUACACACAUGUUUAGUAAUAAAUAGGUCCAUCCAGCCCCCCUACCUAGCUCUGAGAGGGCUGGCAUGGAUCAUCUAUCCAUGGUGGCCAGUGGUUUCUGCUGCUCUUUCUACUGCUAAUACAUCUCUCUAUACAACAGUGGUGUCCAACCCGUGGACCGCUAGCAGUACAGCCUGGGCUGGGAUCACUGUGUUCUUCCUGCACAGGUCCCUCGUACGCCCAGCAGUGAUGCUGAUGCCAGGAUGAUGUCAUAUCCCGGUUGCCGGCUCACUGCAGGGCACACAGGGGAGCUGUCCAGGAGGAGCACAGAGAUCCCAGCCCAGGCUGCACUGCUAGUGGUCCACGGGUUGGACACCACUGUUGUAUAGAGAGAUGUAUUAGCAGUAGACAGAGUGAAGUGUUCAUGCCACUGUACAGAACACUGGUGACACCUCACUUGGAGUAUUGAACAUAGUACUGGAGACCAUCUCUCCAGAAGGAUAUUAAUACUUUGGAGAGAGAUCAGAGAAGGGCUACAAAACUGGUUAAUGGAUUGCAGGGUAAAACCAGGAAAGGUUAAAUAAUCUUAAAGAAGAAUGACGAGGCAAGUGAUAUGAUGUGAAUCAACACUGUAAAGGAGAAGAGUAUAUUUAAAAGAAGAAAAAAAACUAUCACAACAAGAGGACCUAGUCUUAAAUUAGAGGGGCAAAGGUUUAAAAAUAAAAUCAGGAAGUAUUACUUUACUGAGAGGGUAGUGGAUGCAUGGAAUAGCCUUCCAGCUGAAGUGGUAGAGGUUAAAACAGUGAAGGAGAUUAAGCACGCGUGGGAUAGGCAUAAGGCUAUCCUAACUAUAAGAUAAGGCCAGGGACUAAUGAAAAUAUUUAGAAAAUUGGGCAGAGUAGAUGCGCCGAAUGGUUCUUAACUGCAGUCACAUUCUACGUUUCUAUAAAAAAAAACUGCAUUCACAGAAAAUUACUCUGGCAAAGUACACAUAUAAAUGGUAACACUGCUAUAGUUACAAAUUAGGCAAUUAAGGGCAAAUAUGAUUUUAAACUGGAAUUAAAGGACCAUAUAUUUAGUUUCCUGAUGUUAAUGCCGUUGUUAGAUGUUGAUGCCGUCAUAAAAAUCACAUGAAAGGACUAUAAAGUCAUUGUUAAAUUAUUUGCAUAAUGUCACCAUCAGUGAAUUCAUUACAGAUUAAUCCCGUUACUGGUAGUUUUAUUAAAUAUUUAUGAAAUAACUAUUACCAUUUAACAACAAGUGAACCUUGCUUUAAUGGCAUUUGAUUGCUUCUUAGGAUGAACGUAAUACAUAUUAAUUCUCGAUUCUUUCCACGUGGUAACCUUUAAAAAAAUAUAUAUAUUUGCAGUCAUGGUUUAAACAUCCCAUAGAAUGUGCUUAGCUAACCAGGAAACUUAGAAAGAGCGCAUUCAUCCUGUAAAAUGUGUUAAAGGAACACUAUAGGGUCUAGAACACAAAUGUGUAUUCCUGACGCAUAGUGUUAAAAUCACUAUUUAGCCCCCAGGCCAUCCCUUUCCCCCUUAAAUAUAGUAAAAGCUCUCCUUAUUUCCAGCGCAGAAGGGUUCUGCCAGUGCUGGCCCUGACCCGAUCCACCUCCUUGACUGACACUCUCAGCCAAUAAGUACUGUUUUAACCCAGGUAUGAGUUCGUAUAUAAUAUUGGAAGUAAAAGCUCAGACCAACUCAGAUCUGAAGGACAGCAGGUGCCCAACACAGCACGAUAAGUGUCAAAAUAUCCAUAAACGGUUUGACCAAUUACCAAUUUGCCCAUGGACUCCUGGUACUAUAACUACAGCAGGGGUCUGCAGUUGUUAUGGUGCACUUUAAGACAUAUGCUAGAUUAUAAGGGGGAGCAUUGUAGCCCUGUCCUAAUAGGUACGCUUCAGAAUCUCAAGUGAUACAGAUUAGGUUUUCAUCAUUGACAGCAUAGGCAUGAAGUGAGUAGUAGGGGUCAGACCUACUAGGAGAGAGCAGCAGUAAUUCCGGACACAACAGAAUGUAGAUCAUAAUUUUAGUUUACUUUUAAUUUGGUUACUGGAAUGGAGUUUAAGUGAAAGCGUCAGGAUUUAGAAACGGAAUAAAAAAAGAGAAAAAACAUACUAAAAUGUAGCAUAGAGGCAGUUUGCUUUGACAGUUAAUGAUAUGGCAAUAUUAUGAAGGAUAAGAGAGGUUUUAAUUGUUGGGUUUGAAAGCAAAUUUGGUUAGCGAACAUCCAAUUUUUCAGAUGUUAAGCAUUUACUAGUGGGAUAUCACAGACAGCAUAUUCUACUACUGAUUUAAAAAAAGGGAAUGGCAAUUUACUGAAAUGAAAUUGUAAAAAAAAAGUUUGGCUCAAAAGAUAUAGCUUAAAUUUAAAAAAUACAAAAUACAAAACCACAGAUUUGCAUUCAUUAUCUGUCAGCAGGUGCGAUAAGAAAUGAUUGCCAGUGCCAUUUCUGUUAAGCAGGUGAAAUGUGACACAUUAUUAUUGUAGGUCUUUUAAAAACAUCUCCGAGCUGCAUUUGUGAGACAAUAGACAGGGAAAACAACCUUUUCUAGCUUAAAUGAAGAAAAAUAAAUUCAAAGCACAUGUCCAACUCCUGCAUAAUGGUUGUUAUUGUAAAUGAUCAGCGUUCUACCAGCGCUGGCCGGACGUUCUAUUUUUAGAGUACUUUCUACAGCAACAGAUGCGGAAGACACAGGAUUAAUCAGAGUGUAAUAUGAGGGAUACAAAAUCGAUUUUAUAAAGUUUUAAUGACUGAAUCACGGAUUCUAUUCAUGUGACGUGUUUAUAAAGUUAGGUUGCGGUAUUUUCCUCUUUAUGGUUGCUAGGAAGCCGUGACAAGCUUGCUGGCUGUAAUGAGGUGAGGAUUGCCAAGGUCUAAAGUCAGGGCAGUUUCAGAGUUCUGGAAUAAUUUUGUGUGGGAGUACUUCUAAUGAAAUAACACCAAUAAUGUAGCUAUAGCUUCAAAAUAGACAUUUUGCUACUUAUCCUUUCUAUAUACACAUCUCACCGGCAGAGUGUUGGUCUCUGAAAAAAGACCAGUUGCCAUUCACCAACACACAAUUAGACACAUUUUAAACAAACACUCCUGUCCUCUAUAGCACUUUAGCUACUAACUAACAUAGAAUGAAAGGUGUGAUCAGAAACUUGUUUAACUCCUUAAGGACACAUGACUAGAGAUGUCGCGAACCGUUCGCCACGAGCUCCGGUCAGCUGACAAAUCCCGGCCAAUCUCCAGCAGACCCUCCCUUCCAGACCCUCCCACCUCCUGGACAGCAUCAAUGCUGAAGGCAGCUUCGCCUGGAAGUUCGCGAACGGUUCGCGACAUCACUACACAUGACAUGUGUGACAUGUCAUGAUUCCCUUUUAUUCUAGAAGUUUGGUCCUUAAGGGGUUAAAGGACAACUGUCAUCAAAUUUCCACUUUUCAUUUCUUUAAAGUUUAUUACAUUGAAGAAAACUUAAUUAUAUAUUUUGUUUGAGAAAAUUUAAUAUAUUUUUUUUAAUCUGACUGAGCAGCCAUGUUGAGUCAGAGUCCUCUGUUAUCUGACCAGCUGCUGCUCAACCUAACUUUCCUGCUGUUGAGUUUCAAGAUUAUUUUUAUUACAGGCAUUUAUAAAACAUCAACCUGUUCUGUAGUGUUCUACAAUUGGGGGAAAAGACAGUACAAUAUACAAAGAACAAUACCAAAGGUAAAGGCUCUGCCCUUGAGCUGUGAUCUAGUCACCAAAGCUCUUUUAUACAAAGUAUUUGGCUAAACAGCCUUUGUGUUAACAAUUUAGAGGUUCAUAUGGGAAGUUGAAACAACAGGAAGCAGGGGAAAUUUUGAGCUGAUGGCCAGAGAGAAUCAAAGGAUAAUUGCAGCUACAGGUAGCAUGUAAAGGCGAUGCUGUACUGUUUCUUAAGGCCUGUGUAUUCAAUAUUCAGUAUAUUUUUGAGACAUGAUUCCAGAUCGUCUGAGUCAUUUACUUCUUUUACUUUGUUAUAUUUGAUUGCUUGGUGUUUAGACACCUGGAAAAAUGUAUUCUGGUCCUUUUGGAAAUGUUUGGCCUUUUUGGGAGUGGUACAAUUCUACUAAAUUCUCUUGAAUUGCUUGCAGAUGAUGUUGCAACAAUUUUGAAUUUUUUUAUUUUGCAAAUAACAGGACACAGGUCUGUCUAGAGAAAGAAGGGAUGAAUAAAAAAAAUACAAACAGAUAACAGUAGAGUUUGACUAAACAUAGCUGCUCAAACGGAUAAAAAGUGAAAUUUUCUUUAAGAAAAAAACCAAUAUACAUCAUUUAAAAAUAUCAUUUAGUUUCAUUAAUGAUAUUCAUUGUUAGUAUUCCAGACUAAAGAAAGUGGAAAUUCAGAAUAUACCACAUUCCAAACUGGAAUAUUCAUUGUCAGUAUUCCAGACUAAAGAAAGUGGAAAUUCAGAAUAUACCACAUUCCAAACUGGACAUUACUAUUAUUAUUAUUUUUUAAUUCAGCAUCACUGACUCUGCAGAUGGGGGACAGGGCCACUGCAUUGAUAUGACGUGGUCUGGGUAACUAUAGUGUCCCUUUAAAUAAAUAGGUCUCCCUGAUACAGGGAAUGAUACAAUACCACAAGAGGGGUCAGAAUAUUUUUUGUUAUUCCUAAAUAGCGUUUGCAAAAUGUAAAACAUUACAGUUUUUUUACAAUGUAUUUCAUUCAGGAUUAAAUUCACCUUUAGUGGCUUUUAAUAUGACAGUCACUAGAGGCGCUUUGGCUGCACUUACCAAGUAAAGCUUUGUCACACAGGUGCCCCCAUAAGAAAGCAAUGAUUCAAUUAUUUUCCAUGGGGAAGCUUGAGAGCGUGCGGCUCUUGCCACACAUGUGCAAUAGGUUCCCAAACAUAGAAACACACAAAAAAAAAAGAUCUCACAAUUUAAGCCCAAUAUAGUAAUGUUCGAGGUGUUUUAGAGUUAAGUCAGCGAUAAUGUAUUCCUCUAUCAAUUUCAAAAUAUCAAAUUCAAACAGAAAAGAGAGUAACAAGUUCUUAAAGGAAACUAUUCAAAAAAUAAAUUUAAAAAAAAUACUAAAAUGUAUUAAUAGUAGCAAAGAAAGUAUGAGUAAUAUUCAUUUUAUGAAAACACACACAAAAAAAAAAAUCAAAAUAUGCACGUGAAAUAUAUACUGGCAAAUAAAGAGUACUUGUUGAAGGGAAGAUUAACAGUAUCGUUAGUGUAUUAGCUGCUGAGCUCUGCUUAUACAGAUAAACUACCUCUCAGCAGUGCACCUCUUACGCUAAUCAGUGAGAAGGGCAGAGUUGCUAUGACAAUGCAAAGUCCUUAUCCGAUUCCGUGUAAAGGGUGAGCACUCGAGUGCAUUCAAUGUUUCUGUAUUGGCUAUGUAUAUUUUUGGAGUAUACCUGCAGUCCCCAGUCAGCUGCUAUGAAAAAAGAACUAUUUGGAGAAAAUAGUGAUUUUUCUUCCCUUAAUCAAUGUAAUUUAUGUUUGCCCUUUUAGUUGCUGGAACCAUUUCUUCCAAAUAAUUAUUUCUAUUUUCUUAUUGUGUAUAUAUUAUCACUCAUGCUACUUUUCUAUUGAGCUGCUUUUUUUUUUUUUUUAGUUUAGCUUGCAUUAAAUGGACACUCCAAGUACCAUGAAAUCAUACACUUUUAGUAUAAGCACUGUCUACCUGCACACAUUUGCUUGGAAUUAUAAUUUCCCAAAAUUACGAAAGUCAUAGUUUGCUCCUUCACUCAUAGGAGAAAGCUGCACCUUUUCCUCUGUCCGUUCAAAUAUCCCCACUUCCCCUGACUCUAUUACUGUUAAUUGGGAAGGCAUCUGAGCCCCUAUUUGAGAUUAUAUAACCCUGCAAUCUCCAUUAAUGUGACCUGCAUUGCAUCUGUACGUGACUCAGAGACUAUGUUUUCUGAGACUCAGUUUUCGGGGAUCGGGGAGGAGAGAUAUAUCUGGGUGUCGUUGGCAUACAGAUGGUAGCGGAAUCUUACAACAUGGAACGUUUACUCACACAGAUCACACAAAGCAACAUUCUUUAAACAUUCGCUCCCAUGGUCUCACUUUGAUUUGUAGACAGAUUACUAAUGAAACAUUUCAACAAUUCCUCAUUUGUCCACAACUGAAAAAGCCUUUUCUAUGAUACCACUCACAUUGGUUUUAUCCCGGCUCAAUGCAUAUUCUCCUUUAGCUUAUAGCUAUAAUUGUUACCAAAGGGUUGGGUUCUCUACGCCUUUUGUGCCAGUAUGUCCACCAAUAUGUCCCUCUGCCUGUACAAAUACACACUGUAAUGUGGAGAGGAGCACAGUAAAAGUUAAAUAAUUGUAGAAGAAUUCUCAGAUGCUCAAAGUCUGCACUCUUUGAAUAACUGUGGUGUGCAGACCGCUGUGUCCCAAAGCCUAAUAAAAAAAACAGUCAUGAGUUUACAAAUAUUAUUUUGUCAAAGUUUGUAAAUGUUCAUACUACACAGGCACAGAGAACACUCUUACAGAGUAGUUCACUAAAGCGUGAAUUGUUGGGUGUUGAAAGUGAAUUUAAAAUGUUAUACCACAACAGCCGAACUUGAAAAAGUGUCCAGUUUAGCUAUAUUUUCCUUUUUCUUUAUUUUGGAAUUAAAUUUGAAAUUCACUUUGACAAUUGUUUCUCCACUCAUAACAAAUACAUUAUGCAGAGCUUCAACAAUUGCUUCAAGGUUCUGGCUAGGCUUAUCCAUGUACUCUUGGUAUUGUCUUGGCUGUAUGUUUUGGAUCAUUGUACUGUUGGAAGGUGACCUUUCAGCCCAGAGUCCCUGAGCGCGCUAUACCAGGUUUCAUCAAGGAUAUCUCUGUAUUUUGCUAUGUUCAGCUUUCCCUUAGCCCUCUCCCAGUCCCUACUACUGAAAAACAACCCCAAAGCAUGCUACUACCAUCAGACUUCGCCGUGGGGAUAGUAUUGUACAGGUGAUAAGUGGUACCUGGUUUGAUUCGAUCAUCAGACCAGAGAAUCUUGUUUCUCACAGUCAGACAGUCAUUAAGUGCCCCUUAAAUUUCAAGUGGGCUUUUAUGUAUCUUGCUGUGGAGAGGCUUUUUCACAGCAAGACACAUGAAAACCUGCCAUGGUUACAGUGAUUGUUGCCCUUCUUCUUUGUGGGCAGUUCCUUGGACCUCACGGCAUGAUUUUGUUCUAUAGACAGGUGUUUGGCUUCCCAAAUCCAUUGAAUUAGUCACAGAUGGACUCCAAUCAAAAUGUAGAAAUGUCUCAAAGAUGAUCCAGAGAAAUGGGAUGCAGCUGAGCU
Pelobates cultripes (western spadefoot toad) is the source of this 9240-nucleotide non-coding RNA. The record is from the annotation of a GenBank genome assembly. Lineage: Eukaryota; Metazoa; Chordata; Amphibia; Anura; Pelobatidae.